This 95-nucleotide small RNA is filed under the name Streptococcus sp. Its description in RNAcentral is "partial 6S RNA". It matches the Rfam family "6S / SsrS RNA", at positions 90 to 187 of the family's 187-position model. Rfam says of the family: E. coli 6S RNA was the first non coding RNA to be sequenced, but its function was unknown until recently. It consists of 184 nucleotides that fold into an extended hairpin structure with a large single-stranded internal bulge. RNAcentral also lists the same sequence under 1 other name. Lineage: Bacteria; Bacillati; Bacillota; Bacilli; Lactobacillales; Streptococcaceae. The record is from RNAcentral.
UCGGUUCGUCCGAGAAGCCUUAAAACUAUGACGACACAUUCACCUUGAACCAAGGGUUCAAGGGUUACAGCCUGCGGCGGCAUCUCGGAGAUUCC